UGGCAUCCUUGAAAACCCCCCAGUUGCUAUUUGUGAUCUCUGGGACAAGAAAGGGUGCAAGAAUAAAUCUUAGAAUCAUCCAAAGCUGAGAGCUGUGUGUCAGUAGCUCUCGGUUAUUUCACCUCUAAGACAAAACACAUU
Molecule: small nucleolar RNA, 141 nt
Organism: Amphilophus citrinellus (Midas cichlid)
Lineage: Eukaryota; Metazoa; Chordata; Actinopteri; Cichliformes; Cichlidae
Source: Ensembl